GCGGGGCGCAGUGGCACAUGCCUAUAGUCCCAGCUACUUGGGAGGCUGAGGUGGGAGGAUCGCUUGAGUCCAGGAGUUCUGGACUGCAGUGCGCUAUGCCCAUCGGGUGUCUGCACUAAGUUCAGCAUCAAUAUGGUGAGCGGGGGACCACCAGGCAGGUUGCCUAAGGAGGGGUGAACUGGCCCAGGUCAGAAACGGAGCAGGUCAAAAAAAAUAAGUUAAUCAAUAAAUAAAAAUAACUGUAUUUGUGGACUUUCAGUAGUUUCCAGUAUUAUGCAGUCAUAAGUAGUAUUGU
Molecule: non-coding RNA, 295 nt
Filed under: Octodon degus (degu)
Lineage: Eukaryota; Metazoa; Chordata; Mammalia; Rodentia; Octodontidae
Source: RNAcentral